This is a non-coding RNA of Podarcis lilfordi (Lilford's wall lizard), 72 nucleotides long. Lineage: Eukaryota; Metazoa; Chordata; Lepidosauria; Squamata; Lacertidae. The record is from the annotation of a GenBank genome assembly.
UUACCUGUAGCUCAGUGGUAGAGCUCUUGCCUCCGAAGCAGAAAGUUCCAGGUUCAAUCCCUGGCAGGUCCA